GGUAUUUUGACCGUGCAAAGGUAGCAUAAUCAAUAGUUUUUUAAUUGAAAGCUGGAAUGAAAGGUUGGAUGAGAAAUAAGCUGUCUCUAUUUAAUUUUAUUAGAAUUUUAUUUUUAAGUUAAAAAGCUUAAAUUUUAAUAGAAGACGAGAAGACCCUAUAGAGUUUUAUUUAUUUAUUUAAUAAGAUUAUUAGUAUAGAUUAUUUUUAUUUAAAAAAUAAAUUUAGUUGGGGUGAUUGAAAAAUUUAAUAAACUUUUUAUAUAUUUAUACAUUAAUAUAUGAUUAUUUGAUCCUUAGUUUAAGAUUAAAAGAUAAAAUUACCUUAGGGAUAACAGCGUAAUUUUUUUUGAGAGUUCUAAUCGAAAGAAAAGAUUGCGACCUCGAUGUUGGAUUAAAAUAAAAUUUUGGUGUAGAAGCUAAAA
This 422-nucleotide ribosomal RNA is filed under the name Laparocerus susicus montanus. Its description in RNAcentral is "partial 16S ribosomal RNA". Lineage: Eukaryota; Metazoa; Arthropoda; Insecta; Coleoptera; Curculionidae. The record is from RNAcentral.